UCGGGAAUUUUGGGCAAUGGGCGCAAGCCUGACCCAGCGACGCCGCGUGGAGGACGAAGCCCUUCGGGGUGUAAACUCCUUUUAGUGGGGACGAACGCAGACGGUACCCACAGAAAAAGCCCCGGCUAACUACGUGCCAGCAGCCGCGGUAAUACGUAGGGGGCGAGCGUUGCCCGAAUUUACUGGGCGUAAAGCGCACGUAGGCGGCUCCGUAAGUCUGGUGUGAAAUCUCACGGCUCAACCGGGAGGCUGCACCAGAUACUGCGGAGCUCGAGGGCGGGAGAGGAGAUUGGAAUUCCCGGUGUAGCGGUGAAAUGCAUUGAUAUCGGGAGGAACACCAGUGGCGAAGGCGGAUCUCUGGCCCGCUUCUGACGCUGAGGUGCGAAAGCUGGGGGAGCGAAAGGG
This 405-nucleotide ribosomal RNA is filed under the name uncultured bacterium. RNAcentral's name for it is "bacterial SSU rRNA". It matches the Rfam family "Bacterial small subunit ribosomal RNA", at positions 355 to 776 of the family's 1533-position model. The record is from RNAcentral.